This 859-nucleotide ribosomal RNA is filed under the name Buchnera aphidicola (Drepanaphis utahensis). RNAcentral describes it as "bacterial SSU rRNA". It matches the Rfam family "Bacterial small subunit ribosomal RNA", at positions 131 to 1001 of the family's 1533-position model. Lineage: Bacteria; Pseudomonadati; Pseudomonadota; Gammaproteobacteria; Enterobacterales; Erwiniaceae. The record is from RNAcentral.
AUAAAGAGGGGGAUAACUAUUGGAAACGAUAGCUAAUACCGCAUAAAGAAACCAAAGUAGGGGAUUUAACCUUACACUUUUUGAUGAGCCCAGACGAGAUUAGCUAGAUGGUAAGGUAAAAGCUUACCAUGGCGAUGAUCUCUAGUUGGUCUGAGAGGACGACCAGCCACACUGGAACUGAGACACGGUCCAGACUCCUACGGGAGGCAGCAGUGGGGAAUAUUGCACAAUGGGCGAAAGCCUGAUGCAGCUAUGCCGCGUGUAUGAAGAAGGCCUUAGGGUUGUAAAGUACUUUCGUUAGGGAAGAAAUAAAGUUAAUAAAUUUAUUUUUUGACGUUACCUAAAAAAGAAGCACCGGCUAACUCCGUGCCACAGCCGCGGUAAUACGGGGGGUGCAGCGUUAAUCAGAAUUACUGGGCGUAAAGAGCUCGUAGGCGGUUUUUUAGUCAGAUGUGAAAUCCCUGGGCUUAACCUAGGAAUGGCAUUUGAAACUAAAAAACUAGAGUUUUGUAGAGGGAGGUAGAAUUCUAGGUGUAGCGGUGAAAUGCGUAGAUAUCUGGAGGAAUACCUGUGGCGAAAGCGACCUCCUGGACAAAAACUGACGCUGAGGUGCGAAAGCGUGGGGAGCAAACAGGAUUAGAUACCCUGGUAGUCCAUGCUGUAAACGAUGUCGACUUAGAGGUUGUUUCCUUGGGAAGUGGCUUCUGAAGCUAACGCAUUAAGUCGACCGCCUGGGGAGUACGGCCGCAAGGGCUAAACUCAAAUGAAUUGACGGGGCCCGCACAAGCGGUGGAGCAUGUGGUUUAAUUCGAUGCAACGCGAAAAACCUUACCUGGUCUUGACAUCCAUAAAAAUUUUU